GGAAAGUGAGGCAGCUUCUCAUUACUCUCCGUUGAGCGGGACACAAGAGGCUCCGUCCUGGGUUAGCAUGCAGAGACGGAGAGGAAGAACAGAGAGGGUGAGGAGGCGACGUCGAAGCUCUGGCUCAAGAGGAGUGAAUGAGAGCUGCAGAUCUGAAUUUAUAGAGCUAAGAAAAUGGCUGAAAGAGAGGAAGUUUGAAGAUACAGGCUUAUUAGUACCUGCCUGCUUUCCAGGAACAGGAAGAGGGCUGAUGAGCAAAGCGUCGCUGCAGGAGGGCCAGGUGAUUAUCUCACUGCCUGAGAGCUGUCUGCUCACCACGGACACUGUGAUCCGAAGCUCCGUAGGGCCCUACAUUAAGAAGUGGAAGCCUCCGGUGUCUCCUCUGCUGGCUUUGUGUACCUUUUUGGUCUCAGAAAGACAUGCAGGCAGUCAUUCCCUCUGGAAGUCUUACCUGGACAUUUUACCCAAGUCAUAUACCUGCCCGGUGUGCUUGGAGCCAGAAGUGGUGGAUCUUCUUCCGGGACCUUUGAGGGCGAAGGCGGAAGAGCAGAGAGCCCGCGUGCAGGAUUUGUUUGCCUCCUCUAGAGACUUCUUCUCUACCCUGCAGCCUCUGUUUGCAGAGUCUGUGGACAGCAUUUUCAGCUACCAUGCCUUCCUCUGGGCCUGGUGCACAGUGAACACCAGAGCUGUGUACCUGAAGUCUAGGAGGCAGGAGUGCCUUUCCUCAGAGCCGGACACGUGUGCCCUUGCUCCGUUCCUGGAUCUGCUGAAUCACAGCCCACAUGUCCAGGUGAAAGCAGCAUUCAACGAGAAGACCAGGUGCUAUGAGAUUAGAACAGCCUCUCGCUGUAGGAAGCACCAGGAGGCGUUCAUCUGCUACGGUCCCCAUGACAACCAGCGGCUGCUCCUGGAGUAUGGCUUUGUUGCCUUUGGCAAUCCUCACGCAUGUGUUCCUGUCUCAGGAGAGAUGCUGCUCAAGUACCUCCCGCCAGCCGAUAAGCAGGUGCACAAGAAGCUGUCCAUCUUGGAGGAUCAUGGCUUCACAGGAAAUUUGACGUUUGGAUGGGAUGGACCAUCUUGGAGGUUGCUCACAGCUCUCAAGUUGUUGUGUCUGGAAGCCGAGCGGUUUACGUCCUGGAAGAAGGUGCUCAUUGGUGACGUAAUCUCCGAUAGGAAUGAGAAGGCAAGCUUGGGCGUGGCCCAGAAAAUAUGCUCUGAUUUCAUUGCGGAGAUUCACUCCGAGCUGCGCAAGGUUUCUGACAUGAAGGAAAGGAAAGGAUCGCUGAUAAGUCAGCUCUGUUUGGUGGAAGCUUUGCGGAUGGAAGAGCUGCGGAUUCUUCAGGCUUCUGCUGAGAUCCUGAGUAGUUCGCUGGCCCCCUUGUCCUGAGUUCUCGGGAUCACGUGGCCCCUCCCAUGGAGGGUGCUCCAGCUGCAUUUUCACUGAGGGUUCAAGAAAAGAGGCAGACAUUUUAGCAGUCUGCGACCUUCAAGGACCCCGAAUGGAAUUAAGACUGACAGAGCUUUGGGGUUCCUCAGGCAGCCAGUGCUGCUGCCUGGAGUCCUCACUCUCUUUGAUGUCCCUUCUUCCCAAGAGCUUGAGUUCUCUCUCUCCAUGGAGCCCAGCAAGACAGUGGGUGCAAAGCAGGCGGGGUUCAAACAAUAUUUGACCCUCUUUCCUCGUACAUUAGAUGUAGAAGCUAACACGAAAAUAGUUUGUGUUGGCUCGCCUUUUAAAUACAUUCGUGUGUGCAACGUGUGCAUGAAUGUGAAUGUGUGUGUUCAUGCCUGUGUGUGUGUGCAUGUGCAUGCAUGCUGUGUGUGUUCUUACCUGUGUGUGCAUGCCUGUGUCUGUAUGUUCCAUAUGUGCUUAUGGCGGUCAGAGGACAACUGGUGGGCAUUGUGUCUGUCCUUCUGACAUGUGGUCCCUGAGAUUAAGCUCAGGAUGAGAGGCUUGGUGGCAAGUGCCAUCCCCCAUUGAGCCCUCCUCCAUAGCCAUACUAUUCAGCCUGCACUCCACCCCACCCCCACCCAUGAGUGCUGAGGAUGGACCCCAGGUCCUUGUGCUUCCACAGCACCUGGUUGUCUGGCCCCCUAACACAUGGUUCUGUUUUUAACACCUGCAGUGUAUCUCAUGAUAGACUAGGCCAGAGUUGGGCAAAAUUUCUGUAGUGGACCAAAUAUGAAAUAUUUUAAGUUUUCAGGCUCUUAAUCCUUGCCCUGGGUGUGUUGUAGACAGAAUCAAGGCCAUAGCAAGUCACCUAGCUUUGUUUUCAAGGACAGGUAGUGGGCUAUAGUUUGCCUCUGUGCUACUUGAGAAUUUCUUCUUCCGAUCCCCCUUGGUAACUUAGUAAUAUUUUUUUUACACCAUUCAAAAUGAAAGCCCCUCAAACCUCAAAACUUUCAUAGACACCAUGUGGUUUUACUUGUUUUAUUUCUACUUGUAUUGUUAUUUUUAACUUCUGGUUGAGGGUAGGGCUGCCUUGCAGGCUGGGCCUCUGGGUGCUCUUGCUCAGGGUAGAGGUGGCUGUCUAGGCCUGUGGUUCUGAGUCUGAAGGUCGCCAGUCUCAGGCUAGAAGGUCUGUAGUUGGCCAGCAGGAAUCCUGCCUUACAUGGCAGGUUAAUGUCUGGUCACUUUGUCCCUAGAGAGAAAGUAGAACAAACACAUGUUGGUUUCUUGGCCGGGAGCUACACCUGGGACCUUUGUCAGGAAUGCUACAAGCUGGGUCGCAUUUGUCCGCAGUUGUCGCACGUACGCAUGUGUGUGUGCAGAGUGCAGAGUUCGAAGGAGCUCCCAGGUGAUCUCUGCCUGUGCUGAGUUUGAAGACUAGUGAUGUGGAAUUCUGGAGGAGUCCUGCAUGCUUCCGAGUCCUUUUCUGAACUAUUGACAAGUGACAUCCAGCAAACUCCACCUCAGAUCCCUGUGUAAUUUGCCUUGAGAGUGAUAUGAAGCAAGUCUUCUCGGUGGAUUCUGCUUGCGAGGACCAGGGCUAAAUGGGACCUUGGCAUUAUCUUUCAGAGCCCUCAUUUGUGGUGGAAGCCUCAAGAGUUUGAGAAACACUCUCUGGGCAUCCGUAGGUUUAGGCUCAGAAUCCAUGUCUUUGCCAGUUUUGAUGGGUUUCCCCCUUCCUGCAUCCACCUUCAGACUGUAUGGUCUAGAUGCCCUUCUUCAGGAGUCCCUGGGACCAUCUGGAGCCAGGAAGCUGUGGGAGGAGAAAGAGAAGUGGUGCCCUCCACCCAAGAAAGGGGGCUGUCAGUCUGUGCCGUCUCUCAGUUUUCACAGUAUGAAGGACCAAGCAGCUUCUUUUAGUGAUACAAGCUCAGGCAUAAAGUCACAAGUGACCUGGUCUACAUCACACUCCGAGAUCAAAACACAGCAUAAAGUCACAAGUGACCUGGUUCUCACAUCAUACUCCGAGAUCAAAACCCAGAAAUGUCUAGUGUGUUCUCUCUCUCUCUCUCUCUCUCUCUCUCUCUCUCUCUCUCGUGUGUGUGUGUGUGUGUGUGUGUGUGUGUGUGUGUGUGUGUGUGUGUGGUAUAAUGGGCCACACAGAGCCUUCCUCACAGUUACUGGGACAGUAAACAAUUUCAGUCCAACUCAGGGAGGCUCUAAACUCCUUCAGAGGGAGGUCAGAAUGUGGCUGCAGACGAAGGUCAACCCCAAGGGGGUGCUCUGACUGCAGAGGCAUCUUUGGUCAGUCUCUGAAACCUGUUUUGUUAUUUUGCCUCCAAGAUCUUAUCUGUACAUCAGAUUCCCACUAGCAUCCUCUAAGGUGACGUAGAUCAGUCCUGAAGAGGAGUGCUAGGGUGUGGGGGCCAUUAAAGCUCCCAGUGUUUAGCUGUCUGCAGUGUCCUCUCUGAGCCUCUGGGAUACAGGAGCAAGCUGCUGUAACUUUCCCAGCUGGACCGUCCUGGUUUCAAAGACCUUCAACUAUAAUAGUUUUGGAUGAGAGAAGAGAGAGGCUAUUAUUACACAAUCUCUUAACUAGUAGCAUUUGGUGCUGGGUAAAGAGGCUUCCAGUAUACAAAUAAUAUACUUGAUAUUUUCUCAGGAGACUACCUCUCGAAGUUCACGGAUGCAGUCUUGAGUCAUUCCAUCUUCGUACACGAGGUGGCGCCAGAGGACUGUUGCACUAAGAAAGCCGCUAGAGCUUUUGGGCUCUUACCAAUUCAAGUCACCAAAGGUUUUCCUCCUAGUGCUCCCCAUAUUAGCAGGACGCAAAUGAGGCAAUACGGUUCCGUUUUGCUUUUGGGACAAAAGUCAGAUGGUUACGUUCCUUUUGGGAAGCAGUAACUAUUUGACCAGCGAUGUGUGGGAGCAGAUGAAGUUCAAUUCACCGAUAUGAAGCAGGGGCUUGGCCAGUAUGUGGGGUGAGUUCAGGGUGGGGAAGGGGCCAACCUUGUUGCUCUAAAGAUGAGCCUUAAGUAAAUGAAUGAUGUCUUCAGCCUGCAGAGAAGGACCAAGCAGACACUAACUUCCUAACUGAGAAUUUAGACACUACUCGAAGGACAGGCAAACAUAAGAGCUGCCUUUAAGGGGCUGACUGGACCACCCACACAAAGUCCUCAGGGCCUCAGAGGGCCUCAUCCGGUAGAUGUUCCUAGAAGGAUGCAUUUUGUGGAGAGCUGGAAAGAAUCUGUUUCUGCAGACAGAUGACUUGGCCUUAGUUAGGGGUGUGCUAGAUCUGAGGACCGACCUUCAAGGUGUUCUUGUCUUUUCUGUCUAUAGGCAGCUGACAGACUGCAGAUCACUGUGGGCUGACUUAGUCCUACCUCACCCCGGCUUCAUACCAUUGGCCUCAGAAAAAAACAAACAAACAAACAAAAAAAACCCCAUGGCUGGCCGAGCUUCCUGAACUUCUGUUGUUACCUGCUGUCAUGUCCUGGAUUUACUGUGCUGAAUGGGGAGCUACUGUCAUGUUUUUUCCCUCUUGGUCCUCUCCCUUCCCUCUCUCCUGUUGAUUUUGGUCCUUGGGCUUUCCGUAUGGUUUGUUUAAAGGCACAGUGAUCUGAUGAGGCCCUUUUCACAGCACUGGGAUCCUAACUAGAAAAGUGUACAUUACCUCUUCCUGAUUGGAGCAGCCUUGCUGGUUGCGUCUGGGAGUCAGCUCUUACUUUAAUGGCAUUCAGUUGGUGAAGCCAGUGGUUUUGACUGCUUUCAUUCUAGCACUCCUUAGCCCGGGUUGGGAGUCCUGGCUCACCCACACACAAUUGGUGGGCAGUUUUCAAGGGAGCUCUUUGAAAGAAGACAGUAUUUCUGAUACCGGUAGGAGGGACGCGGUACAGUCAGUGGACACUGCUGGCCCUGUCUUUGUCCUUUGAGUGUACCACAGAAGGCUCUUGUGUCUAUACAACCUGCCAUGCCCAGGAGAGGUAAAAGUCUGAGCUGCAGGCGAGUGACUGGCCCCAGGGGUUUGUGUGUAUUGUAUGUAGUGCCCAACUGAAUCUAUAGUUUCUGCAUCUGAGAUUCAAUCAACCUUGCAUCGAAAAUUAUUUUGUUUUGCUUUCUGCCACUGUGGUAAAAACACUAACCAAAAGCAACGUAUGGGGGGCAAGGGUUUUACUCCACCUUAUACUGUCAGGUCACAGGAUCACUGAGGGACAUCAGGACAGGAACCUGAGGCCGAACUGCUUGCCAUUCACAAGCAUUGUCUCCAAACUGGGAGCUCACUCCCAUCCAAGGACGCACAGCAGGACACAGGGAGGCAUGCUGUAUGCUGGCUUCCUGUCUGGCUUAUGCCCUGAUAACUUUCUUGUACACACAGAAUUACCUACCUAGGGGCGGUACAGCUUGUAGUGACCUGGGCCUUCCUACACCAAUCAAUAACCACGACAGUCUACACAGGUCAGUCUGAUCUAGGCAAUGCCUCAAUCCCCGCUUUCCUCUCAGAUGACUGUGAGAUGUGUCAGGUCAGCAGUGAGUGGUAACUAAGUCAACAGCACACCUAUUUAUACAGCGUUAACGCUGCACUAAGCUUUAAAUAGCAAAGACGAUUUAAAACACACACGUGUGGGCGAUUUGCAAAUUGUUUGCCAUUUUGUGUGAGGGGCUUAGUAUCUGCAAGGGGAUCCCAUGGAUGCUGGGAAGUAGCUUUACCAGCCUUGUGGGUCGGUCCGUGUGUCCAUCAGUAAUCCAUUCAGACAUACUGUGGCUCCCCUAAAGGGGGAGGGGCAGCUCUGCUUAGAGGACUCCGAGUGGUAACAGUUAUGUCUUGGGGCAUAACUGAUCCCAAAUAUGGCUGGUAGGAUGGGCUGAGGCCUCUGGGCCAUCACCCUACCAUGCACGUGCUCAGGAAGUUGGGCUGCAGGUUCACGGACUGCCUAACACAACACUUGAGUUUUACCUCCAUCCUCUCACAAAGCUGUCCCUUCUUUGCCCACAGCCACUGAGUGGAAGGAGAUGCACAGGCUUCUUGUUCAUCCAGUCUUUCCCCUGGCUGCUCUCUGCUGCCCUUCGGUGCUUGUGGUCAAGUUUCACUGGAUUCUUUAAGAGUGAGGGACAGGGAAGAUGGUGAGAGCCAGGAGUGGGGCUGGCUUUGUCUUUGUUCUGUCUGUAGGUACUGGGGCUUCUGGGAAGGAGGGAGGGAGGGAGGGAAGGGAGGAGAGAGGGCCUGAGCACUCUGAGGAACCAGACAGACGCACCUCCAACACUGUUGGGCCUUUUCUUUCUCUGGGCUUCAGUCCACUCUGCGUGUUCUGACAUGUCCACAGCUUGCAAGGGGAGCUGCAGACAGCUGCAGACACGCUGGCUGGCCAACCUCAGGGUAUUGUUUUCAGCUAUUAGCUCAUGGUGCAGAAUGAGGGCUUGGUGGCCCUCUUUGUUUGUGAACCUCUUUUUGCUCUGCAAAAGGGGAAGAGAGAACACCGUCAAACAAAAGUCAGCUCAGAACCCCAGAUCACACGGGACCCGUCCCAGGCAGGAAGUGAGGCCUCACUGGGAACGUGUAAGUUACAGUAAGUUCUCAGCAGACUGAAAACCCUUUCAUCACGUUCUGUCUCCCUGCCUCCCAACUCUUUUACUUCAUCUACGACAUCGCUCAAGCACAAAUGGCGUUUGUCAGGGGUAAUCGGCCAGCCCCGGAGGCUGUGUUCAAGGCUGCCUAGAUGGAGUAUCUCAAAGCAGUUGUCCAUGUUGAAAGAAAACAUUACAUUUGAUCUUCCUGGAAAAUGAUUUCUGCAGACACCGUGUGUGUCUGCGCUCUUUAGCCUUCUAAGCCCUUUCUACCUGGGGUGGGGGUGGGGCCCGCAGGAAAUGGCAGUUCGCAGUUAAUUUUACAGUACGUCUGCAGAAACCAGGGCAAUGAGAAGCCAUCUGAAACACAACCAAGGUUUGUUUUUAUUAGCCGACUGACGAACCUGAACAGGUGUGCAGGUUGUUAAACGUUGAACGGCAAGCUCAUGCUUCACUGUGUCUACAGGGAUAUUUAUCCCCCUGGAUGAGGUAGAUAUAAGGACGGCUGCAGCCAUUCAUGAGACGGUGUCUCGCCUACACUUGGCGCCCUCUGUAGACUACCCACCUCUCAGAUGCACGGCAUCCAGGAUACAGACAGCCAGGGGGACCCAUCGAUGCAACUGGGCAAAAUGCGACUCUACUGUUCUUGUUUCAGUAUUUCUUUUUCAUCUAGCUGAAACAGGGUAGAAUCAUUUUGGAAGAGGAACCCCAGUUGAAGAAUUGUUGGCUCCAUCAGAUUGACCAAUAGGCAAGUUUGUGGAGCUGUUGUUUUCUCCAUGUAUAAUGGAUGUGGGAGUCCUGCCCACUGAGUAGCGCCACUCCUGAGCAGGGGCUCCUUAGUUGUAUAAGCAAGGUAGCCCAGCAAGCUGGGGGAGUAGGCCAAUAGUCAGCGUGCCUGUGGCUCCUGCUUCAGCUCCUGGCCAGGUUCAGGCCCACUUCCCAUUUACAAUGUCUGUCAGCUGUAAGUCGAAAUAAGCCUUUUCCUCAAGUUGCCUGUAUUCAUGCACAGGGACUGAGACUGUGGGUUGAGUCAGGACUGGGCCCCUGAAACCUGUGGUCACGUGAUCCAUUGUAUGGAGAGUUUCCUCUGCUCAGGACUGGAGUAUGGUUCAAGUCAGAAACCUGAGGUGGAAGUUCACACAAGCAGUGUAAAUGUGUCAUCUUCCAUAUCCUAGUGCAUGUAUGCUUAUGUACAUGUGUGUUUAUGUGCAUGUGUGCUUAUGUGCAUGUGUUUAUGUGCAUGGGUAUUUGUGUAUGUGAUUGUGUGUGUGGGUGUUUAUGUGCACGAGUGUUUAUGUGUAUGAGUGUUUGUGUGCUUGGAUAUCUAUGUAUGUGUGUGUGCUUAUGUGUGUGGAUGUUUGCUUGAAGUUGAAAUAGUUUAGUGGCCAAGGACACUAGAGGACUGCACUUGCCACCUUGUGUCUCCUAUGGUUGGAAUAAUUCUUUGAUGUUAUAGAAAGCACUAGACCUGUUUUUACAAAUAAAGUACCCCCUAAUGGACAAUUUUUUUCACCAUGAUAGAGUAUGCAUAGUACCAGAUUUGCCAUUUGAGACUGUACAGUCAGCGCUCUGAGUACUUCCACAGCGGGUUGCUACUCUGUCUCCUUUCAAGAUGUUUGUAUUCUCCAAGCAGAAGCUCUGCACCCAUCUCCAGUAACCUCCAGUCCCCUGUUUCUACAGGUGCUGGUACUCUCUAUUCAUCAGUAACUGACACCCCAAUCCCUUAUUCCCACAGGUGCUGGUACUCUCCAUUCAUCAGUAACUGACACCCCAAUCCCUUAUUCCCACAGGUGCUGGUACUCUCCAUUCAUCAGUAAUCCUCCCUCCCCAUGUCUGUUUUUUCCUACAGGGACUAGUACCCUUCAUUCACCAGUAACCCCAACCCCACAGUGGCAAUCCCAUCCCCUCUUGUAUCUGUCUUUGUGAUAUCACAUCAGUACAGUUGUUACCAAAGUCCGCACCCUAAGCAGCCAGGUUCAAACAUGUAUGCUUGAGAAGCCAAUGAAGAUAGCCAAACUAAUAGUAAAAAAGCAGAAAAGAGAGAUACAUUCAAUGUGGCCACCUUUGGAAGAGAAACAAAGAGAUCCGACCUUGUCCUUCUAAGUUCUAGAGAGGAAUUCCACUCUCUUGGGAUCCAUUGUUUGAAUAAUGUGGUAGUCAGUUUGAGGGGUACAAUUUCAUCUUUAGAAAUCCAUUUCUAGGCUGGGGAUUUAGCUCAGUGGUAGAGCGCUUGCCUAGGAAGUGCAAGGCCCUGGGUUCGGUCCCCAGCUCCGAAAAAAAAAAAAAGAAAUCCA
Rattus norvegicus (Norway rat) is the source of this 9243-nucleotide non-coding RNA. NCBI's taxonomy places the organism in Eukaryota, Metazoa, Chordata, Mammalia, Rodentia, Muridae. The record is from RefSeq and is a predicted model, not a curated record.